Molecule: long non-coding RNA, 634 nt
Organism: Aedes aegypti (yellow fever mosquito)
Lineage: Eukaryota; Metazoa; Arthropoda; Insecta; Diptera; Culicidae
Exons: 2
Source: RefSeq, a predicted model, not a curated record
AUUGCUUUGUUUCUAUCAGUGCAUUAUUUAGGAUCAUCAAGCCAAGACGAAUUCGAAGUCGUGCGCGCGAUAUGAUGACGAUUCAUCCAAUCGUCUCGAAACGACACCGAAGCUGAUGAUGACGAUGACGACGUUCGUUCGCACGGACGACGAGAAAACGAACAUGUACGAUCAAAGGAACUGACUCUCGAACGACCUCAGUUUGGAGAUUAUUGUAGUGGAAAGCAGUCGCAGUUGUGUGGUGAAGUGAACAAAAAAAAAGUGACGAAAAGUAAAAAAAUAAGUGAUGAAUAAAAUAAAAUAAAGAAAGAAUAUGUGUUGCAAAAGGUGUUGUAUUGGUUUCGGCCUAUUUUGAGAAAACUCCUACAAUGGCGUAAGUCGUGCAUUAUUUAGGAUCAUCAAGCCAAGACGAAUUCGAAGUCGUGCGCGCGAUAUGAUGACGAUUCAUCCAAUCGUCUCGAAACGACACCGAAGCUGAUGAUGACGAUGACGACGUUCGUUCGCACGGACGACGAGAAAACGAACAUGUACGAUCAAAGGAACUGACUCUCGAACGACCUCAGUUUGGAGAUUAUUGUAGUGGAAAGCAGUCGCAGUUGUGUGGUGAAGUGAACAAAAAAAAGUGACGAAAAGU